RNAcentral lists this ribosomal RNA (31 nucleotides) under Fusarium oxysporum. RNAcentral's name for it is "partial 28S ribosomal RNA". The record is from RNAcentral. Lineage: Eukaryota; Fungi; Ascomycota; Sordariomycetes; Hypocreales; Nectriaceae. RNAcentral also lists the same sequence under 13 other names.
UUGACCUCGGAUCAGGUAGGAAUACCCGCUG